AAUGAACGCAUAGUGAGGGCAGUA
This 24-nucleotide non-coding RNA is filed under the name Cricetulus griseus (Chinese hamster). The record is from RNAcentral. Lineage: Eukaryota; Metazoa; Chordata; Mammalia; Rodentia; Cricetidae.